UGGGGGUAGGGCACCAGUGGGCA
RNAcentral lists this microRNA (23 nucleotides) under Mus musculus (house mouse). RNAcentral's name for it is "mmu-miR-6910-5p". Lineage: Eukaryota; Metazoa; Chordata; Mammalia; Rodentia; Muridae. The record is from miRBase by way of RNAcentral.